UACGAAGGGGGCAAGCGUUGUUCGGAAUUACUGGGCGUAAAGGGCGCGUAGGCGGUGCACUAAGUCAGGCGUGAAAGCCCUGGGCUCAACCCGGGAAUUGCGCUUGAUACUGGUGCGCUUGAAUCCAGGAGAGGUUGGUGGAAUUCCCAGUGUAGAGGUGAAAUUCGUAGAGAUUGGGGAAGAACACCGGUGGCGAAGGCGGCCAACUGGACUGGUAUUGACGCUGGAGGCGCGGAAAGCGUGGGGAGCAAACAGG
RNAcentral lists this ribosomal RNA (256 nucleotides) under uncultured bacterium. RNAcentral describes it as "partial 16S ribosomal RNA". It matches the Rfam family "Bacterial small subunit ribosomal RNA", at positions 524 to 776 of the family's 1533-position model. The record is from RNAcentral.